Eubalaena glacialis (North Atlantic right whale) is the source of this 553-nucleotide long non-coding RNA. RefSeq lists it as uncharacterized. The transcript is spliced from 3 exons. The record is from RefSeq and is a predicted model, not a curated record. Lineage: Eukaryota; Metazoa; Chordata; Mammalia; Artiodactyla; Balaenidae.
AGGAGGACACUUCAUCAGAGAACUCGGGGAGGUGUCUGGCGUGGAGAACAUGCUCGUUUCUUGCUGGUUGCAGUAGGAAAGCCUGUGACAUCGCAGAAAAGCAGACUUGGGUCUUGAACGAGUUUGGGGCCUGUCCCUGAUGGCCUGGCCUCUGCAGAGAUGUCUGGAGGGGAUGACUUCUCCCCACCUCCUGGGAUUCACAUGGGGCCACUCCCCAUCCACUGGCUUUAGAGGCAGGCAUGUAUCCCAAGCUGGACACUGAGACUCCCUCUUGGGACUUUUGCAGCAACUAUGGGAAAAGAGGCAUUCACUUUUCAUGGGAGUUGCCAGGUUGAUGGAACUCCUGCUCUCCACUUGAGAUGAAGCCAAGUGGUAGAGAAAGUAUGCUGUCCCCAGACCUCAGUAAGCCCCUGGAUCCAGCCAUGCCUGAAGCUAACCACACCUCUGGACUAACCUGAUUAUAUGAGCCAAUGAAUGCAUUUCUUUUUUUCUAAAACUAUCCUGAGUUGGAUUUCUGUCAUAGAAAGGGCCCUAAUAAAGCUAUGUUUUUCUU